Phyllostomus hastatus (greater spear-nosed bat) is the source of this 2254-nucleotide long non-coding RNA. RefSeq lists it as uncharacterized. NCBI's taxonomy places the organism in Eukaryota, Metazoa, Chordata, Mammalia, Chiroptera, Phyllostomidae. The transcript is spliced from 3 exons. The record is from RefSeq and is a predicted model, not a curated record.
GUCAGCUGCCGGCGAGGUUCACCGUUUCUUUGAGAGAUGGGAGGUGGAUGUGAAUGGAUGUUGGUUCCCAUGUAAGAGAGGCCCCAGUAGCACUGUCCUGUCCACCUGUGGAAGAGAACUUUCAGUUUGUGGAGGUCGCGUGAUACGAAAGGUUGGUUGAUGACUCCCAUCAGAGGCACCCCUGUCUGUAUGUCGUAGACACCAAUUAGAAUGGUGACACACUGAAGGCCACUGGGGAAGAUUCCGUGGUUGGAUUCAGUGUCAGCAGAACCCUUUAUAUACUGAAGAACCUUCGCCCCAGCUGAUCCUCAGCCCUACUGCAAACCAUCUUUGCUGGACAGUAAAAGCACAUCCAUCCUCUUCUACUGAUGCCUCACAGGCUGUCAAGACAUCAGUGGUGAGGGAGGGCCUCAGCUCGUGCCCAAUUUCUAAUUCCUCUUGUAUUAGUUCCUAGAACUGCCAUAACAAAAUACCACCAACUGGGUAGCUUAAACAGCAGAAAUUUAAGUCCCACAGAUCGGGAGGCCAGAAGUUCAGGACCAAGGUGUGGGCAGGUUUGGUUUCUCCUGAAGCCUCCCUCGUUGGCUUGCAGAUGGUCACCUUCCUUUUUGCCCUUCACACCCCUGUGUACCUCCCUCUUCUUAUAAACACACCAGUCAGGUUGGAUUAGGGCUCUAUCAUGUGGCUGCUUUUAACCUUAACUACUUCCUUAAAGGCUCAUCUCCAAAUACAGUCACAUUCUCAAGUGUUGGGGGAUAGGCUUUCACCAUACAAAUUCUAGGGAAUGCACUUCUCCUAACAGAGAGACCUUGAUAAUCUUCGCAAAUCCUAACACAACCUACUCCUUUGCAUUUUUUCCAGUGAAACAGUAAAAAUGGGGUAGGGCUCUCUUUCCCACUCACAUGGUCAGUAAGUUUAACUGUGUGAGGCAAUCUUUCCCACAUGGAAUUAUUUAACAGCCAAAUCAUUAAAGGUGCCAUGAACAUUGAAAUAAGCUCUCAUAAGCCUUACUUUGUAGCAAUGUAUUCCAAAUCACAGUUGAGCAGAAUAGGUUUAAAGAAGUUAUAUUCCUCACUAUCUCGGACCAAAAUGUGUAUCUAUCACAAUGUCAGAUAUAAACAGUCUCUUUAGUGUUUGUGGGAUUUUCAUAUCCAGUUGGAGAAAUAUUGACUACAUUGAAGGAAGUCAGAUAAAAACGAGGAGGAAAGGCUCUUAAGACUUCCUGGAAGCCCAAAUCUCUCUACAAUGAUAAAACUAUUUUAAUUUCUGACCAUUUCAUCAUCUCAUCAGAACACCAGAAGGUUAAAAAUCACAUCUGAAUAAUUUACACAUACUUUAGAUGUGAUAAACAGUAGAGUGGGAAAGACAUAGGCUUUGGAAUCAGAUAAACCUGGGUUCAAAACCUGGCUCUGCCAUUGACUAGCUGUGCAGCAUCAGGUAAUUUACUUCCCCUCUCUGAGCCUCUUUCCUCAUCUGUAAUAGGAAGGCAGCACAGACCAUACAGAGACAUUAAGAAGAGCAAAUGAGGUAUUUCUGGAAAAGGAUCCAGCACACAGCCUUGCAUGUAGCAGAUAACAAGUAACACACAUGACUAUUAAACACAACUUCACAGAAACCCGAGUUACAUGUUUUUAUUUGAGAAAACAAGAGGCAACAACUUUAUACGGGUCACUGAAAUCUUUUCUGAAUAUUUACUAGUCCAUUAAAUCCAAAAGGCUGGGACCUAAUUGUGAUUCUCGGAACAACCCAGAAUAAAGUUCCUUUAUGCCGGCCAGAUCUGAUUACUUCAGUUUCUGGGCGUCUGGAUGGAAACUUGGCUCCUGGAAGCUGCAAGACUACUCUAGCUUCAUGGUAGGCCACCUGUGGAUGGCUCUGGAAGGUCGUUAUGUCGUUAAGGGGAUAUUUUGUCAAGAAAUUUUGUGGAGAUUCUAGGGCCAGAGGUGUUGGGUGAAGAGCCUGGUUGUGCCAGAAGCUAGCUGUGCCCUUUUGUUGCUCACAGUGACAGAAGCGCGACGGCACAGAUAAGCGCCCUCAACAAACUAGGGCUGCUCUCUAAUGAACAGGCAAGUGGGUCAAAGCAUUUCCGUUCACAUUCCCUUCUUCCUGAAGAUAAUCCACUGCUUCUACAGAGCCCACAUUUUUGCCCCUUAAACAGUGACUCCACUUACCCUCCACCCUCCCACCCCCUCACUAUUCAUUCACAUCCUGAAUCCAGUCUUCCACUCAUUCUCUAAGGCAGGGGUGUCAAACUCAU